UGUAAACGAAACCUGUGUUUCUCGAACUACAGGUGUUUCUGGGGGUCACUCGCCGGCUCUGGCCGUCUAAAGAUGCAUCCAGGUCCAAAGGGUCACUGUCCUCCUCCCCCAGGUCCAGGGCACUGCCC
Long non-coding RNA from Dipodomys spectabilis (banner-tailed kangaroo rat), 128 nucleotides. RefSeq lists it as uncharacterized. The transcript has 3 exons. Lineage: Eukaryota; Metazoa; Chordata; Mammalia; Rodentia; Heteromyidae. The record is from RefSeq and is a predicted model, not a curated record.